RNAcentral lists this ribosomal RNA (825 nucleotides) under uncultured Bacillota bacterium. Its description in RNAcentral is "bacterial SSU rRNA". It matches the Rfam family "Bacterial small subunit ribosomal RNA", at positions 54 to 913 of the family's 1533-position model. The record is from RNAcentral. Lineage: Bacteria; Bacillati; Bacillota.
CAUGCAGUCGAACGGGAAAGUGGAGCAAUCCAUGAGUACAGUGGCGUACGGGUGAGUAACACGUGGGUGAUCUACCUUUUAGUGGGGAAUAACCCUGGGAAACCGGGGCUAAUACCGCAUAAGCCCGAGAGGGGAAAGUCGCAAGACGCUGAAAGAGGAGCCCGCGGCCGAUUAGCUAGUUGGCAGGGUAAGAGCCUACCAAGGCAGAGAUCGGUAGCCGGCCUGAGAGGGCACACGGCCACACUGGCACUGAAACACGGGCCAGACUCCUACGGGAGGCAGCAGUGGGGAAUCUUGCACAAUGGGGGCAACCCUGAUGCAGCGACGCCGCGUGAGCGAUGAAGCCCUUCGGGGUGUAAAGCUCUUUCGGCAGGGAAGAUGAUGACGGUACCUGCAGAAGCAGCUGCGGCUAACUACGUGCCAGCAGCCGCGGUAAUACGUAGGCAGCGAGCGUUGUUCGGAGUUACUGGGCGUAAAGGGUGUGUAGGCGGUUCUUUAAGUUUGGUGUGAAAUCUCCCGGCUCAACCGGGAGGGUGCGCCGAAUACUGAGGGACUAGAGUGCGGGAGAGGAAAGUGGAAUUCCUGGUGUAGCGGUGAAAUGCGUAGAUAUCAGGAGGAACACCGGUGGUGUAGACGGCUUUCUGGACCGUAACUGACGCUGAGACACGAAAGCGUGGGUAGCAAACAGGAUUAGAUACCCUGGUAGUCCACGCCCUAAACGAUGCAUAUUUGGUGUGGGCAGUUCAUUCUGUCCGUGCCGGAGCUAACGCGUUAAAUAUGCCGCCUGGGGAGUACAGUCGCAAGGCUGAAACUCAAAGGAAUUGA